Molecule: long non-coding RNA, 305 nt
Organism: Panicum virgatum (switchgrass)
Lineage: Eukaryota; Viridiplantae; Streptophyta; Magnoliopsida; Poales; Poaceae
Exons: 2
Source: RefSeq, a predicted model, not a curated record
GCUGCGCUAGCCGCCGCGCCACCAUGCCCCGCCGCUGGACGUCCUCGCCGCCGGCGGGAGCUGCUCGCUACGCCGCCGGCCAUGGCCGGAAUCGUAGCCGAGGACGUCGUCUAUAAGUUGGUCGUGAAGUCCAGAACCGGCAAUGCAGGCCCAUGAAGAAGUUCGUGAAGACCCAGCCCAAAGCCGCAAGUAAUACUAACCUUGCUCAGCAAAAAGCAAGCCCCGGUGCAUAACCCAAUAAUUUAAAAUUAUGAAAUAAUAUGUGUUUAUUACUUGUGCAUUACGUUUUCAUGAAUUGAUUGAAA